AUCAACCACUUAUUUAACAACUUAUUUAAAAUAUAUGAUUUUUGAUUCAGUGUACUAAAUAACCAUUUUUAUUUUUAUUUAACGUAACGUACCUACGUGUUUCACAAGAAUCAAUCGCGCUAUAAAUAAAACAUUCAAUAUUUGAAAAACGCCAAAACAAAUUCAAAAAGUCGAUAAAAUUGAACUGUCGAUCACAAUAUUUCCGGACGAAAUUUGUAACUGCGCCUACAAACAUAAAAGUGGUGUGUAAAAUGUUACUGAAAUAUGUUUCAUAUCGCCCGUCGUAAAACAUUUUACACGAUAUCACAGCACUUGCGCCCACGCAUUUGAAAUGAAAUUAUUUCUGAGCAUCCAACUCCUCAGCAUUCUACUCCACAAGAGUUCAGAAUUGACAUCGGAUGAAGACGAUAUCUCUGACUACAGGUUUAAGAUAAACCGUGUGGACGGCGAGAGUAGCUCCGAGAAUGGACCUAUUUACAUCCACCAGCAUAGGCAUCAUAUGAAAAGACACAACAAGGGCUCCUGCCAGAAUUGUCCCAAUUGUGCCGAAGUCCAAAAACCAAAUAAUCCAAUGGAAAACGUUGUCUUCCUUCCAUCAUCUUCUGUCAAUCAACAUGAAGAAAAAGUGGAGCUGAAGCCUGGACUACAUGGGCUACACCAAUUUCCCGGCAGGUCUGAACACCACUGGCCCCAUGUGUCUGAACAGCAAUGGCCCUCAAACCAAGAAACUGUGCACCAUUGGCCUGCCCACGCCCAAGGAGCACAGUUGCCUGCAAAUGGGCUGGUUCAGCAUUGGCCAGCUCAGCAAUGGGCUGUGAGAUCUCAACCUCAGUAUCAUAAUCAUCAUAACCAAGCCCAUCAAAGACUUUGGCAAGGAAACCCGGUAUCGCAAUGGCCUGCAAAUCACGGUAUUGCGUCUCAGUGGGCUGGGAACCCAGGUGCGAAUGGUGUCCAAUGGCCUGAAGGCAGUUGGCCUGGGAGCGCGUGGCCUGCUAAUGGAUGGCCUGGAAAUCCUAACCUAAAUAUGCAACAUAACAUUGGUUGGCAGAACGCCGGUGCCGCUGCGCGUUAUUUCCUAUUCAAAGGGAAAAAUUCGACGAAGGUGAAAAAGAUUAAAAAUGAAAACCAAGCGACCACAUUACAAGUGCAUUAUCAGUAAAUAUAUCGUUGACAAGAAGUCGUUACAACAAAAUAUACGGAACGUCCAUUUUUCAGUUUGUUUUGAUAAUGGUGUAAAAGAUUUUGUUUUAUAAUUUUACCUUGUUUUUAAGGAAAAUAAAGAGAGACACGCACAUGACAUGCGUUUCUUAAAUAUGUA
Plodia interpunctella (Indianmeal moth) is the source of this 1318-nucleotide long non-coding RNA. RefSeq lists it as uncharacterized. Lineage: Eukaryota; Metazoa; Arthropoda; Insecta; Lepidoptera; Pyralidae. The record is from RefSeq and is a predicted model, not a curated record. The transcript is spliced from 2 exons.